RNAcentral lists this ribosomal RNA (471 nucleotides) under Trachylepis perrotetii. RNAcentral's name for it is "partial 16S ribosomal RNA". It matches the Rfam family "Bacterial large subunit ribosomal RNA", at positions 1922 to 2597 of the family's 2925-position model. Lineage: Eukaryota; Metazoa; Chordata; Lepidosauria; Squamata; Scincidae. The record is from RNAcentral.
UUUAAACGGCCGCGGUAUUCUAACCGUGCAAAGGUAGCGUAAUCACUUGUCUUCUAAAUAGAGACCAGUAUGAACGGCUAAAUGAGGACAAAACUGUCUCUUAUAACCAAUCAGUGAAACUGAUCUUCCAGUACAAAAGCUGGAAUAAACACAUAAGACGAGAAGACCCCGUGGAGCUUAAAACAAACCACCACCCAAACCCUGGUGAAACGUUUUAAGUUGGGGCGACUUCGGAACAAAAUAAAACUUCCGAGCACAGAACCACCACUUCCAAUCAAGGCCAACAAGCCAAAACCAAACAUGACCCAGCCAAUGUCGCUGAUCAACGAACCAAGUUACCCCGGGGAUAACAGCGCUAUCUUCUUCAAGAGUCCCUAUCAACAAGAAGGUUUACGACCUCGAUGUUGGAUCAGGACACCCAAAUGGUGCAGCCGCUAUUAAAGGUUCGUUUGUUCAACGAUUAAUAGUCCU